AACGCUGGCGGCGUGCCUAAUACAUGCAAGUCGAGCGGACAGAAGGGAGCUUGCUCCCGGACGUUAGCGGCGGACGGGUGAGUAACACGUGGGCAACCUGCCCCUAAAUGGCUAGACUGGGAUAACUCCGGGAAACCGGAGCUAAUACCGGAUAAUCCCUUUCUCCACCUGGAGAGAGGGUGAAAGAUGUCUUCGGCUAUCACUAGGGGAUGGGCCCGCGGCGCAUUAGCUAGUUGGUAAGGUAACGGCUUACCAAGGCAACGAUGCGUAGCCGACCUGAGAGGGUGAUCGGCCACACUGGGACUGAGACACGGCCCAGACUCCUACGGGAGGCAGCAGUAGGGAAUCUUCCGCAAUGGACGAAAGUCUGACGGAGCAACGCCGCGUGAGUGAGGAAGGCCUUCGGGUCGUAAAGCUCUGUUGUGAGGGAAGAAGCGGUACCGUUCGAAUAGGGCGGUACCUUGACGGUACCUCACCAGAAAGCCACGGCUAACUACGUGCCAGCAGCCGCGGUAAUACGUAGGUGGCAAGCGUUGUCCGGAAUUAUUGGGCGUAAAGCGCGCGCAGGCGGCUUCUUAAGUCUGAUGUGAAAUCUCGGGGCUCAACCCCGAGCGGCCAUUGGAAACUGGGGAGCUUGAGUGCAGAAGAGGAGAGUGGAAUUCCACGUGUAGCGGUGAAAUGCGUAGAGAUGUGGAGGAACACCAGUGGCGAAGGCGACUCUCUGGUCUGUAACUGACGCUGAGGCGCGAAAGCGUGGGGAGCAAACAGGAUUAGAUACCUUGGUAGUCCACGCCGUAAACGAUGAGUGCUAGGUGUUAGGGGUUUCGAUGCCCGUAGUGCCGAAGUUAACACAUUAAGCACUCCGCCUGGGGAGU
RNAcentral lists this ribosomal RNA (875 nucleotides) under Shouchella clausii. RNAcentral describes it as "bacterial SSU rRNA". It matches the Rfam family "Bacterial small subunit ribosomal RNA", at positions 32 to 881 of the family's 1533-position model. Lineage: Bacteria; Bacillati; Bacillota; Bacilli; Caryophanales; Bacillaceae. The record is from RNAcentral.